Molecule: ribosomal RNA, 500 nt
Filed under: uncultured bacterium
Lineage: Bacteria
Description: partial 16S ribosomal RNA
Rfam family: Bacterial small subunit ribosomal RNA
Source: RNAcentral
AUUGAACGCUGGCGGCAUGCCUUACACAUGCAAGUCGAACGGCAGCGCGGACUUCGGUCUGGCGGCGAGUGGCGAACGGGUGAGUAAUGUAUCGGAACGUACCUUUCAGUGGGGGAUAACGUAGCGAAAGUUACGCUAAUACCGCAUAUUCUGUGAGCAGGAAAGCAGGGGAUCGCAAGACCUUGCGCUGAUUGAGCGGCCGAUAUCAGAUUAGCUAGUUGGUGAGGUAAAGGCUCACCAAGGCGACGAUCUGUAGCGGGUCUGAGAGGAUGAUCCGCCACACUGGAACUGAGACACGGUCCAGACUCCUACGGGAGGCAGCAGUGGGGAAUUUUGGACAAUGGGGGCAACCCUGAUCCAGCCAUGCCGCGUGAGUGAAGAAGGCCUUCGGGUUGUAAAGCUCUUUCGGCCGGGAAGAAAUCGUACGGGUUAAUACCCUGUGCGGAUGACGGUACCGGCAUAAGAAGCACCGGCUAACUACGUGCCAGCCGCCGCCGUAA